Molecule: long non-coding RNA, 1381 nt
Filed under: Delphinapterus leucas (beluga whale)
Lineage: Eukaryota; Metazoa; Chordata; Mammalia; Artiodactyla; Monodontidae
Description: lncRNA (ENSDLEG00000016861.1)
Source: RNAcentral
GUCCUGAUUACAGCAGCAAUAUUGUAGGUCUUAAUAUCAGGUGGUGGUCCUUCCAUUUUAUUCUUCUUUUUCAAGAAUUUUUAAGCUGUUCUAAGGCCUGUCCUGUCCAUAUACAUUUUAGAAUAAGCUUAUCUGUGUCUACUAAAAUUCUUUCUGGAAUUUCGAUAGGAAUUGCAUUAAACCUUUAGAUUAAUUCGGGGAAAAUUAACAUUUUUACUAUGUUGAGUCUUCCAGUCCAUGAAUACGAUAAUGUCUCCAUUUAUUUAGUUCUUCUUUGAUCUCUUUCAUCAGCAUCUUUUUUCUUUUUUUUUUGCAGUACGCGGGCCUCACUGUUGUGGCCUCUUCCGUUGCGGAGCACAGGCUCCAGACGCCCAGGCUCAGCGGCCAUGGCUCACGUGCCCAGCCGCUCCGCGGCACGUGGGAUCCUCCCGGACCAGGGCAUGAACCCACGUCCCCUGCAUCGGCAGGCGGACUCUCAACCACUGCGCCACCAGGGAAGCCCUCAUUAUCAUCUUUUAAUUUGCAGCAUACAGAUCUUGUCCAUGUUUUGUUAAGAGACAUCCCUCUCCCUCUCAGGCCUCCUCCUCCAAGAAGCUUUCCCUGCUGUGCAGAGAGGACCAAACGCACGGCCGGGGCAGAAGCGUGGCCCUCGAGGCGGUCGGCCUGGCCACUCACUAGCUGUGUGACCUCGAGGAAGUGACCUGGCUUCUCCAGCUUCAGUCCCUGGUCCGUAGAAGGACGAUGUUGGAGGACAUUCCUCGUGGGCUUGGAGUGAGCCUCUGCGGGAAGGCUCGGGAAGCGCUGCCCGCCACGGGAAGGAGGCGGAAGCCCUCGGCGGCCCGCGCCACACCAGGCCUCGCCUCUCUGAGGAGCGGCCCCCGGCCCGUGCCCGAAGGUGGAGGGGGGACGCACGCCCUGGGGCCCGGGGCCGCUGGGCGCCGGGAGCUCCGCCUGGUUCUCAACGCCAGCAUUUACAGCUCCCGGGAGACACAACCCCUGUCAGCCAUUCACACUUGGCGGGCAGGCGGCGCUCAAGGCUGCGAGGGCGCGGGAGAUGCCGUCCUGCUCUGCCCCCUGCCCGGCUCCCUGCCGGGCUCCCUGCAGCCCGCGGCCGGCCGGAGGUCCGUACCACCGAGAGACCGGCUGGUCUCUGCGCGCCUAGAGCGGCACCGGAAGCUCCCCGGGCGGGGCCUCGGGCCGAUUUCCGGCCGCGGCGUGCGGGCGGCCGUGCGGGCUUUGUCAGCAGGCCAGCGGGGCGGGCGGCCAGCGGUCCGCGUGCGGGGCGCGCGCCGUCCUCUCGCCGCUGGGCGCCGGACUGACGGGUGACUAGAAGGUGACUCCGGAGCCUGAAUUUCUGAGCAUGGAAAUCUGCAGAAGACAG